CUGGCCGUAAACGGUGAACACUAGGUGUUGGAGGCAUCGACCCCUCCAGUGCCGCAGCUAACGCAUUAAGUGUUCCGCCUGGGGAGUACGACCGCAAGGUUGAAACUCAAAGGAAUUGACGGGGGCCCGCACAAGCGGUGGAGCAUGUGGUUUAAUUCGACGCAACGCGAAGAACCUUACCGGGGUUUGACAUGCACGGGACAGGUGUGGAAACACACCCUCCCUUCGGGGUCCGUGCACAGGUGC
This 246-nucleotide ribosomal RNA is filed under the name uncultured bacterium. RNAcentral describes it as "partial 16S ribosomal RNA". It matches the Rfam family "Bacterial small subunit ribosomal RNA", at positions 796 to 1041 of the family's 1533-position model. The record is from RNAcentral.